UUAUGUGCUUUAUUACACUGGUCGGCCUUGUGUUUUGAAUAUACACAUAGUUAGGCAGAGCAUAGCUUAGGAUGCACUGUUUCUAAACAGAUCACACCUCGUCAUAUUCGAUUCAUAGCAGACCCAUUUAUUCUCUACAAAAUCUACAGCAGGACACCAUCCCAUCACCUCUCCUCUGUCACUCCUGACCCUGCUGUCCCCAUGGAGAUGACCUCUCUCCUAUUCCUACUCUGUGCAGGUGUCUGCUGCACAGCCGCACUCAGCCGCCUCAAACAGUUCCAUCUCAUUGAAAGGAGUUUAAACUGGACAGAAGCACAAGACAUCUGCCGGGAGAACUAUACCGACCUCGUCACUUUGUACAAUCGGGAGGAAUCUGAGCAGCUGAAACAGUUAAUGGCAUCUCAAUGCAGCUAUAAAGCCUGGAUAGGUCUCCAUCGCACAGAGCACAGUCUGAAAUGGUCCAAUGGAGACACUGUUAAUGACACUGCAUGGUCACCACUUCCAAGCCCGUGCACAGAGCCAACGUGUGCAGCCAUACUCAAAGAUAAUACAACAUGGAAGAAUUGUAAAGAGCAGAAAUACUUCAUGUGU
This is a long non-coding RNA of Oncorhynchus gorbuscha (pink salmon), 591 nucleotides long. RefSeq lists it as uncharacterized. The transcript is spliced from 3 exons. Lineage: Eukaryota; Metazoa; Chordata; Actinopteri; Salmoniformes; Salmonidae. The record is from RefSeq and is a predicted model, not a curated record.